This is a small nuclear RNA of Chlorocebus sabaeus (green monkey), 103 nucleotides long. NCBI's taxonomy places the organism in Eukaryota, Metazoa, Chordata, Mammalia, Primates, Cercopithecidae. The record is from Ensembl.
UUGCUUGCUUUGGCAACACAUAUACUAAAACUGGAAUACAGAGAAGAUUAGCAUGGCCCCUGCGCAGGAUGACAUGCAGAUUCGUGAUGCAUUCUAGUUUUUU